CCUACGGGUGGCAGCAGUGGGGAAUAUUUCACAAUGGGGGAAACCCUGAUGCAGCAACGCCGCGUGAAGGAAGACGGUUCUCCGAUUGUUAAACUCUGUUCAUAGUGAAGCAUAUUGACGGUAGCUUACGAGCAAGCGACGGCUAACUACGUGCCAGCAGACGAGGUAAGACGGAGGUGGCAAGCGUUGUCCGGAAUUAUUGGGUGUAAAGGGAGCGCAGGCGGGAUGCCAAGUCAGCUGUGAAAGGAACGGGCUUAACUUGUAGACUGCAGUUGAAACUGGAAGUCGUGAGUGAAGUAGAGGUAGGCGGAAUUCCGGGUGUAGCGGUGAAAUGCGUAGAUAUUCAGAGGAACACCGGUGGCGAAGGCGG
Molecule: ribosomal RNA, 370 nt
Filed under: uncultured bacterium
Lineage: Bacteria
Description: partial 16S ribosomal RNA
Rfam family: Bacterial small subunit ribosomal RNA
Source: RNAcentral